Molecule: unclassified non-coding RNA, 391 nt
Filed under: soil metagenome
Description: partial contains 5.8S ribosomal RNA, internal transcribed spacer 2, and large subunit ribosomal RNA
Rfam family: 5.8S ribosomal RNA (bases 1-122)
Source: RNAcentral
GAUGAAGAACGCAGCGAAAUGCGAUACUUGGUGUGAAUUGCAGAAUCCCGUGAACCAUCGAGUCUUUCAACGCAAGUUGCGCCCGAAGCCACUAGGCCGAGGGCACGCCUGCCUGGGCGUCACACGUCGUUGCCCCCCCAUCUACUCCUUCGGGAUUGCGGGGGGGCGGAUGAUGGCCUCCCGUGCGCCUAGCCGCGCGGUUGGCAUAAAUACCAAGUCCUCGGCGACGCACGCCACGACAAUCGGUGGUUGCGAAACCUCGGUUGCCCGUCGUGUGCGUUCGUCGCGCAUCGAGGGCUCGAAAAAAUGCUCGGCUUCGGCUCGGCUUUCAACGCGACCCCAGGUCAGGCGGGGUUACCCGCUGAAUUUAAGCAUAUCAAUAAGCGGAGGA